AUUGAACGCUGGCGGAAUGCUUUACACAUGCAAGUCGAACGGCAGCACGGACUUCGGUCUGGUGGCGAGUGGCGAACGGGUGAGUAAUGUAUCGGAACGUGCCCAGUCGUGGGGGAUAACGUAGUGAAAAUUACGCUAAUACCGCAUACGAUCUAUGGAUGAAAGCGGGGGACCGCAAGACCUCGCGCGUUUGGAGCGGCCGAUAUCAGAUUAGGUAGUUGGUGGGGUAAAGGCCCACCAAGCCAACGAUCUGUAGCUGGUCUGAGAGGACGACCAGCCACACUGGAACUGAGACACGGUCCAGACUCCUACGGGAGGCAGCAGUGGGGAAUUUUGGACAAUGGGCGAAAGCCUGAUCCAGCCAUUCCGCGUGCAGGAUGAAGGCCCUCGGGUUGUAAACUGCUUUUGUACAGAACGAAAAGGUUUCUACUAAUACUAGGAGCUCAUGACGGUACUGUAAGAAUAAGCACCGGCUAACUACGUGCCAGCCGCCGCGGUAA
RNAcentral lists this ribosomal RNA (500 nucleotides) under uncultured bacterium. RNAcentral describes it as "partial 16S ribosomal RNA". It matches the Rfam family "Bacterial small subunit ribosomal RNA", at positions 30 to 523 of the family's 1533-position model. The record is from RNAcentral.